GGAUCAGUGGCGAACGGGUGAGUAACACGUGAGCAACCUGCCCUCCACUUCGGGAUAAGCCUUGGAAACGGGGUCUAAUACCGGAUAUGAGCUCGCAUCGCAUGGUGUGGGUUGGAAAGUUUUUCGGUGGGGGAUGGGCUCGCGGCCUAUCAGCUUGUUGGUGGGGUGAUGGCCUACCAAGGCGUCGACGGGUAGCCGGCCUGAGAGGGCGACCGGCCACACUGGGACUGAGACACGGCCCAGACUCCUACGGGAGGCAGCAGUGGGGAAUAUUGCACAAUGGGCGAAAGCCUGAUGCAGCGACGCCGCGUGAGGGAUGACGGCCUUCGGGUUGUAAACCUCUUUCAGCAGGGAAGAAGCGCAAGUGACGGUACCUGCAGAAGAAGCGCCGGCUAACUACGUGCCAGCAGCCGCGGUAAUACGUAGGGCGCAAGCGUUGUCCGGAAUUAUUGGGCGUAAAGAGCUCGUAGGCGGUCUGUCGCGUCUGGUGUGAAAUCCCGAGGCUCAACCUCGGGCUUGCAUCGGGUACGGGCAGACUAGAGUGCGGUAGGGGAGACUGGAAUUCCUGGUGUAGCGGUGGAAUGCGCAGAUAUCAGGAGGAACACCGAUGGCGAAGGCAGGUCUCUGGGCCGCAACUGACGCUGAGGAGCGAAAGCAUGGGGAGCGAACAGGAUUAGAUACCCUGGUAGUCCAUGCCGUA
RNAcentral lists this ribosomal RNA (700 nucleotides) under Actinomycetes bacterium. RNAcentral's name for it is "bacterial SSU rRNA". It matches the Rfam family "Bacterial small subunit ribosomal RNA", at positions 89 to 804 of the family's 1533-position model. Lineage: Bacteria; Bacillati; Actinomycetota; Actinomycetes. The record is from RNAcentral.